Molecule: ribosomal RNA, 141 nt
Filed under: uncultured bacterium
Lineage: Bacteria
Description: partial 16S rRNA
Rfam family: Bacterial small subunit ribosomal RNA
Source: RNAcentral
UGGGGAAUUUUCCGCAAUGGGCGAAAGCCUGACGGAGCAAUGCCGCGUGGAGGUGGAAGGCCUACGGGUCGUCAACUUCUUUUCUCGGAGAGGUAACAAUGACGGUAUCUGAGGAAUAAGCAUCGGCUAACUCUGUGCCAG